This 253-nucleotide ribosomal RNA is filed under the name uncultured bacterium. RNAcentral's name for it is "partial 16S ribosomal RNA". It matches the Rfam family "Bacterial small subunit ribosomal RNA", at positions 524 to 776 of the family's 1533-position model. The record is from RNAcentral.
UACGGGGGGGGCAAGCGUUGUUCGGAAUUACUGGGCGUAAAGGGCUCGUAGGCGGCCAACUAAGUCAGACGGUAAAUCCCUCGGCUUAACCUGGGAACUGCGUUUGAUACGGAUGGGCUAGAGUUCGGGAGAGGAGAGUGGAAUUCCCAGUGUAGAGGUGAAAUUCGUAGAUAUUGGGAAGAACACCGGUGGCGAAGGCGGCUCUCUGGACCGAGACUGACGCUGAGGCGCGAAAGCGUGGGGAGCAAACGGG